GGCGGUUCUUGGUUGAUGCACCCCGGAUUUGGACUCACUCCUCUCUGGUUCUGGGUGCAUCAUCCGAGAAUCCUG
Non-coding RNA from Myotis brandtii (Brandt's bat), 75 nucleotides. Lineage: Eukaryota; Metazoa; Chordata; Mammalia; Chiroptera; Vespertilionidae. The record is from Rfam.